CCUACGGGGGGCAGCAGUGGGGAAUAUUGCACAAUGGGGGAAACCCUGAUGCAGCGACGCCGCGUGAGUGAAGAAGUAUUUCGGUACGUAAAGCUCUAUCAGCAGGGAAGAAAAUGACGGUACCUGACUAAGAAGCCCCGGCUAACUACGUGCCAGCAGCCGCGGUAAUACGUAGGGGGCAAGCGUUAUCCGGAUUUACUGGGUGUAAAGGGAGCGUAGACGGCAGCGCAAGUCUGGAGUGUAAUCCCAAGGCUUAACCAUGGAACUGCUUUGGAAACUGUGCAGCUAGAGUGCAGGAGAGGUAAGCGGAAUUCCUAGUGUAGCGGUGAAAUGCGUAGAUAUUAGGAGGAACACCAGUGGCGAAGGCGGCUUACUGGACUGUAACUGACGUUGAGGCUCGAAAGCGUGGGGAGCAAACAGGAUUAGAUACCCUAGUAGUC
RNAcentral lists this ribosomal RNA (440 nucleotides) under uncultured bacterium. RNAcentral's name for it is "partial 16S ribosomal RNA". It matches the Rfam family "Bacterial small subunit ribosomal RNA", at positions 338 to 795 of the family's 1533-position model. The record is from RNAcentral.